AUGCUUGCUUUGGCAGCACAUAUACGAAAAUUAGAAUGAUACAGAGAAGAUCAGCAUAGCUCUUGCACAAGAAUGACACACAAAUUCAUGAAGUGUUCCAUAUUUAA
Otolemur garnettii (small-eared galago) is the source of this 107-nucleotide small nuclear RNA. Lineage: Eukaryota; Metazoa; Chordata; Mammalia; Primates; Galagidae. The record is from Ensembl.